GCCAGGCAUGGUGGCGCAUGCCUGUAAUCCCAGCUACUUGGGAGGCUGAGGCAGGAGAAUCGCUUGAGCCCAGGAGGCAGAGGUUGCAGUGAGCCAGGAUCGCACCACUGCACUCCAGCCUGGGCUACAGAGUGAGACUCCAUCUCCA
This 148-nucleotide signal recognition particle RNA is filed under the name Homo sapiens (human). RNAcentral describes it as "Metazoan signal recognition particle RNA". It matches the Rfam family "Metazoan signal recognition particle RNA". Rfam says of the family: The signal recognition particle (SRP) is a universally conserved ribonucleoprotein. It is involved in the co-translational targeting of proteins to membranes. The eukaryotic SRP consists of a 300-nucleotide 7S RNA and six proteins: SRPs 72, 68, 54, 19, 14, and 9. The record is from Rfam by way of RNAcentral. Lineage: Eukaryota; Metazoa; Chordata; Mammalia; Primates; Hominidae.